UGCAGUCGAGGGGUAACAGGUAGCUUGCUAUGCUGACGACCGGCGCACGGGUGAGUAACGCGUAUACAAUCUGCCUUGUACUGAGGGAUAGCCCAGAGAAAUUUGGAUUAAUACCUCAUAGUAUAUAGCCUCCACCUGGAGAUUAUAUUAAAGGUUACGGUACAAGAUGAGUAUGCGUUCUAUUAGCUAGAUGGUAAGGUAACGGCUUACCAUGGCAACGAUAGAUAGGGGCCCUGAGAGGGGGAUCCCCCACACUGGUACUGAGACACGGACCAGACUCCUACGGGAGGCAGCAGUGAGGAAUAUUGGACAAUGGGCGAGAGCCUGAUCCAGCCAUGCCGCGUGCAGGAUGACUGCCCUAUGGGUUGUAAACUGCUUUUAUACAGGAAGAAACACUCCCUCGUGAGGGAGCUUGACGGUACUGUAAGAAUAAGGAUCGGCUAACUCCGUGCCAGCAGCCGCGGUAAUACGGAGGAUCCAAGCGUUAUCCGGAAUCAUUGGGUUUAAAGGGUCCGUAGGUGGAUAAUUAAGUCAGAGGUGAAAUCCUGCAGCUCAACUGUAGAAUUGCCUUUGAUACUGGUUAUCUUGAGUUAUUAUGAAGUAGUUAGAAUAUGUGGUGUAGCGGUGAAAUGCAUAGAUAUCACAUAGAAUACCAAUUGCGAAGGCAGAUUACUAAUAAUUAACUGACACUGAUGGACGAAAGCGUGGGGAGCGAACAGGAUUAGAUACCCUGGUAGUCCACGCCGUAAACGAUGGUUACUAGUUGUUCGAACUUCGGUUUGAGUGACUAAGCGAAAGUGAUAAGUAACCCACCUGGGGAGUACGUUCGCAAGAAUGAAACUCAAAGGAAUUGACGGGGGCCCGCACAAGCGGUGGAGCAUGUGGUUUAAUUCGAUGAUACGCGAGGAACCUUACCAGGGCUUAAAUGUAGAUUGACAGGUUUAGAGAUAGACUUUUCUUCGGACAAUUUACAAGGUGCUGCAUGGUUGUCGUCAGCUCGUGCCGUGAGGUGUCAGGUUAAGUCCUAUAACGAGCGCAACCCCUGUUGUUAGUUGCCAGCGAGUCAUGUCGGGAACUCUAACAAGACUGCCGGUGCAAACCGUGAGGAAGGUGGGGAUGACGUCAAAUCAUCACGGCCCUUACGUCCUGGGCUACCACCGUGCUACAAUGGUAGGGACAG
This 1180-nucleotide ribosomal RNA is filed under the name Bizionia sp. Its description in RNAcentral is "bacterial SSU rRNA". It matches the Rfam family "Bacterial small subunit ribosomal RNA", at positions 56 to 1242 of the family's 1533-position model. Lineage: Bacteria; Pseudomonadati; Bacteroidota; Flavobacteriia; Flavobacteriales; Flavobacteriaceae. The record is from RNAcentral.